AGCCCACCGCGGCAGCGCCGGCACGCGGUGCUGCCGCCUCGGCCUCGCCUGUGCCGCGCCGGGCCCCGCCGCCGUGCCCAGGCGAUGCCGGCCUCUCCCGUGGCCGGCAAAGCGGCGGGGGACGAACGCACCCGCCUCGCCUGCGUUUUUCUGCGUGAGGUGUAAGCCGCCCCUCCGCGGCCUCUGUCGGCGGGGAGGAAUGUAGCGGAAUCCUUAAGCAAACAGAAGUCUUCCGGUUUUUGGUCUUCAGGAAUACUGAUGUUUCCACAAUACUGGGCUUGCCCUUUGAAGCCAUACCAGGAAGCAUGCAAGAGAAGCAUCUUUAGGAGUGCGUAUGUUCAGUUACCACCUUGUGUGAAGAUGUGGCUGAGAAGGCUGUUGAGGUGGCUGAGGAAAGAGAAGGGGACUGACAGGUGUGACCCUUGCAGUGCCAUGCAAAAGAUCCCUUCUGCUGUCUCCCACCCUUUGCAGCACUUUGGGACCAGCUUGUUUGGCCUUCUGGUUCAGAAGUUGUGUCGGCUACAUCUGUGCUCCAGAUGAAACAGCACCAGGAACUGCUUUCUGCCACAAGGCCAUUUAGCACAGGUUGGAUAAUAAGUAUUUCUCUAAGCCAUGUGAAGGCUUCAGUCCAGGGAUUUUUCUCAGUGUAACGUACACUGCCAAAUUUAGGCUUCUCCUACCGUCCAACAGCUUUCUCCCCCAGGUCCAUGUUAGUCUACUGACUGAAGUACGUGCUCAAGAAGCAAGAUAACCAGUCCAAUUAUCUCCUCAAUCUACAGGAAGUACACACAUUUCAAAUUAUCACACCAUGUCUUUUUAGGAGAAAGGGUAAGGAAUGGUUCUUGCCAUCCACUUCUUUCCUUUUGAAGCAGGGCAUUAUGCAGAAAAAGAGCCAGAGAAGGCAGACAGGACCCUUGUGCUGGGAGCUGGAGGUGCAUUUGGUCUCUGCUGUCUUUGUAUUUCAUGCUUGUGUGAAAAAAAAAAAAAAAUGUACUAGGAACAGAGACCAGGAGCCAGGAGUCUUCUCUCCAGGGCAGGUGUCCUUGCUGCAGGAUACCGCGAUUGUAGGAGUCACCUAAAGAGCUCAGCCUCUGCUCCAUCUGGUCCAGGGACUAUCAGACGUGGACAGCGGCUAAGGAGCCCUUUCAAACGAAUGAGUAAGUCGUAUGUGGUGAACCCAGUAAAUCUGCAUGGCUGCAUAGUGGCUCAGUGAAAAACUGGGCUCAGUCUGAGUGCUGAUCCCAAGCCACAGCCUGAAGACACUGUAGGACACACAGAUGGAAUCUGACACGUGCCUAUGCUCAGGCAGAAGGCUUAAGUGGAUGUAUGAGCAGCAAGAAUCACAACCAAAACACACUAUGAGGAUCGACUGAAGUGGCAGUUGACAUACAUUUUCAUGCCUCAGCAAGUAUGGAACAAAAAGCAACGACAGAAUCUGGGUAUACAGGGCAGGCACAAGGAGAUUGGCGAGGGGAAGGUGUACAUAGAGUAAAAGGCCAGCAGAGCUCUGAGGCAAUGGGCCAGGCACGGAGGUCUCCAGGGAAGCUUGUGCUGCACAAAGAGCUGGGCUGGCCUGGCUCUGAUCUUGCUGGUCCACAGCAGGCACCUUGAGGCUGUGCUUCAUGGCACAGACAUGCUGUGUUAGGCAUCAGCCAUGUACUCCCUGACAGCUGCUGCGCGCUGUUAAAGACCUUAACACCUUUGUGCUGGUAAACUGCUUGUGAGGCCACGUAAUGAGUUAGGUGAAGGAACUGAGGUUAAAAAUAGCUGUUUCCCCCUUCUUUGACAGGUUAAUUUCAAGUUCCCUGAUGCAAUUCAUUGCACUGUGCCACCUGUCCAUGUACUAGCACUGUUGGGCAGGAGGAAGCAGAGAAGGAUGCGAUGAGAUCGCAUGACCACUGAAUCAUACAAUGGUUUGGGUUGGAAGGGACUUUAAAGAUCUAAUUCCAACCCCUCUGCCAUGGGCAGGGACACCUCACACUAAAUCAGGUUGCUCAAAGCUCCAUCCAGCCUGGCCUUGAACACUUCCAGGGAUGGGGCAUCCACAGCUUCUCUGGGCAACCUGUCCCAGUGCCUCAAUUUCAUCCUUAUAUCAAAUCUAAGCCUACCCUCUUUUAGUUUAAAGCCAUUGAGUGGCUAAGAUGAAAGGAUCUUUGCCACUGAUGGAAAUGCUGGCCUCUCCUUGAGUAGGAGACAGUGCAGAGCAACUUUAAGUAAGCACAUGCACCUGAAGAGCAUGUCUUUACCAUCCAUUUAUGAAGAAGGAUUCUUAACAGAGGCAGUCAGUUUCAAACUGGAGAAUUAACUACACAGUGACGAAUGAUUGCUGGUCAGAGCUCUUACACUCCAGGCAGCGAGAGUGUUAAACCAACAUGGCCCAUGCAGACGAGACUGCAGUGUGUGAGUGCCCCCUUUUGUUCUAAUGAGACUUUGAGAGCUGUAAGGGAAUCACAAGAAAGGUGUCACAGCGCUGAAAGGUGACUUUUACAGCUAGCUGGAAAAGUGGCC
Molecule: long non-coding RNA, 2508 nt
Organism: Cygnus atratus (black swan)
Lineage: Eukaryota; Metazoa; Chordata; Aves; Anseriformes; Anatidae
Exons: 3
Source: RefSeq, a predicted model, not a curated record